Molecule: ribosomal RNA, 215 nt
Filed under: uncultured bacterium
Lineage: Bacteria
Description: partial 16S ribosomal RNA
Rfam family: Bacterial small subunit ribosomal RNA
Source: RNAcentral
UCCCAGUUCGGAUUGUAGUCUGCAACCCGACUACAUGAAGCUGGAAUCGCUAGUAAUCGCGGAUCAGAAUGCCGCGGUGAAUACGUUCCCGGGUCUUGUACACACCGCCCGUCACACCAUGGGAGUCGGAAAUGCCCGAAGUCUGUGACCCAACCUUAGGGAGGGAGCAGCCGAAGGCAGGUCGGAUGACUGGGGUGAAGUCGUAACAAGGUAGC